This 1930-nucleotide ribosomal RNA is filed under the name human gut metagenome. Its description in RNAcentral is "bacterial LSU rRNA". It matches the Rfam family "Bacterial large subunit ribosomal RNA", at positions 14 to 2039 of the family's 2925-position model. The record is from RNAcentral.
AGAGCACAAGGGGAAUGCCUUGGCACCGAGAGCCGAAGAAGGACGUGACUAACUGCGAUAAGCUGCGGGGAGCCGUAAGUAGGCUUUGAUCCGCAGAUUUCCGAAUGGAGCAAUCCGGCAAGAGGAAAGUCUUGUCAUCAUAUACUGAAUACAUAGGUAUAUGAGGGGAACCGCCUGAACUGAAACAUCUAAGUAGGGCGAGGAAGAGAAAUCAACUGAGAUUCCGUAAGUAGUGGCGAGCGAACGCGGAAGAGGCCAAACCGAGAGUAGUAAUACUUUCGGGGUUCGGACAGAAUACGGUAUUGUAAAGGUUUAGUGGAAUGGAAUGGGAAGUCCAACCGAAGAAGGUGAGAGUCCUGUACACGAAAAGCCUGAACAGCCAUCUGUAUCCAGAGUACCGCCGGACACGUGAAACCCGGUGGGAAUAUGGGGGGACCAUCCUCCAAGCCUAAAUACUACUCGGUGACCGAUAGUGAAGAAGUACUGUGAAGGAAAGGUGAAAAGUACCCCUGACGGGGAGUGAAAAAGAACCUGAAACCUUGUGUUUACAAGCACCGAAAGCUCAUCAAAGAGCGAUCGGGUACCUUUUGUAGAAUGGUCCGGCGAGUGAAUGUAACCGGCGAGGUUAAGCACUUAAGGUGUGAAGCCGCAGCGAGAGCAAGUCUGAAUAGGGCGUAUGAAGUCGGUUGUAUUCGACCCGAAACCGGGUGACCUACCCAUGGUCAGGUUGAAGUAAAGGUAAAACUUUAUGGAGGACCGAACCGACUCCCGUUGAAAUGGUAGCGGAUGAACUGUGGGUAGCGGAGAAAUUCCAAUCGAACCCGGAGAUAGCUGGUUCUCUCCGAAAUAGCUUUAGGGCUAGCCUUGAAAUAGAUUACCGGAGGUAAAGCACUGAAUUGGCUAGGGGCCGAGAGGUUACUGAACCUUAUCAAACUAAGAAUGCCGGAUAAUCGUUUUUCAGGAGUCAGACAGUGGGAGAUAAGUUUCAUUGUCAAAAGGGAAACAGCCCAGACCCACAGCUAAGGUCCCCAAGUAUAGUUAAGUGGAAAAGGAUGUGGAAUUGCACAGACAACCAGGAUGUUGGCUUAGAAGCAGCCACUCAUUAAAAGAGUGCGUAAUAGCUCACUGGUCGAGUGACUCUGCGCCGAAAAUUCAACGGGGCUAAAAUUCAUACCGAAGCUUGGGCUUGACAGUAAUGUCAGGGGUAGGGGAGCGUCGUAUACGAGGUGAAGUCAUAGCGGAAGCGGUGGUGGAUUGUAUACGAGUGAGAAUGCCGGAAUGAGUAGCGAGAAUUAUGUGAGAAUCAUAAUGGCCGAAAGUCUAAGGUUUCCUGAGGAAGGUUCGUCCUCUCAGGGUUAGCCGGGAGCUAAGGUGAGGCGGAAACGCGUAGCCGAUGCACAUACGGUAGAAAUUCCGUAGCCUCCGAAGAUUUAAGCACAGGGACACUUUUGAAGGGCUGAGCCGGGCGUUGGUUGCCCCGGUCGAAAGGGACACGAUUGAGUGGAAGUCAGUUUGGAAAGAGGCGAGAAAAGCUGUGUGUAUAUGGAAGGAGCCCGUACCGCAAACCGACACAGGUAGACAGGAAGAAGAUUCUAAGGCCAGCGGGAGAAGGGUUGUUAAGGAACUCGGCAAGUUGACCCCGUAACUUCGGGAGAAGGGGUGCUUACGAAGGUAAGCCGCAGAGAAUAGGCCCAAGCGACUGUUUAGCAAAAACACAGCUCUAUGCUAAAUCGAAAGAUGACGUAUAUGGGGUGACACCUGCCCGGUGCUGGAAGGUUAAGAGGAGAUGUGAGAGCAUUGAAUUGAAGCCCCAGUAAACGGCGGCCGUAACUAUAACGGUCCUAAGGUAGCGAAAUUCCUUGUCAGGUAAGUUCCGACCUGCACGAAUGGUGUAAUGAUCCGGACGCUGUCUCAACCGUGAGCUCAGUGA